This 1817-nucleotide ribosomal RNA is filed under the name human gut metagenome. Its description in RNAcentral is "bacterial LSU rRNA". It matches the Rfam family "Bacterial large subunit ribosomal RNA", at positions 640 to 2481 of the family's 2925-position model. The record is from RNAcentral.
GCGAGGUUAAGCAGGAGAUGCGGAGCCGCAGCGAAAGCGAGUCUUAACAGGGCGAGAUAGUCUGAGGUCGUGGACCCGAAACCGGGUGAUCUAGCCAUGAGCAGGUUGAAGUCGGGGUGAGACCCGAUGGAGGACCGAACCGACCCCCGUUGAAACGUUGGCGGAUGACUUGUGGCUAGGGGUGAAAUUCCAAUCGAACCCGGAGAUAGCUGGUUCUCCCCGAAAUAGCUUUAGGGCUAGCGUCGCAGCGAGAGAGCCGUGAAGGUAGAGCACUGAAUAUGCGAUGGCCGCAUCCCGCGGUACUGAGCAUAAUCAAACUCCGAAUGUCACGGUGUCAUCUGCGGCAGUCAGACGGCGAGUGAUAAGGUCCGUCGUCAAGAGGGAAACAGCCCAGACCAUCAGCUAAGGUCCCAAAGUGCAUGCUAAGUGGAAAAGGAAGUGGAGACGUGCAGACAACUAGGAGGUUGGCUCAGAAGCAGCCAUCCUUCAAAGAGUGCGUAACAGCUCACUAGUCGAAUGACUCUGCGCCGAUAAUUUACCGGGGCUAAGCAUGACACCGAAGCUAUGGACAGGAAUGUGGUAGGGGAGCAUUGCAUGCAGCGGAGAAGCAUGACCGGGAGGGCAUGUGGAGCGCAUGGAAGAGAGAAUGCCGGCGUGAGUAGCGGCACGUGGGUGAGAAUCCCACGCACCGAUGGCCCAAGGUCUCCAGAGGAAGGCUCGUCCUCUCUGGGAUAGUCGGGACCUAAGGCGAGGCCGAAAGGCGUAGCCGAUGGACGACGGGUGGAUAUUCCCGUACCCGAUGUGUGGCGAUGGAGUGACGGAGAAGGCUCAGGCAACCAGCUGCUGGAAUAGCUGGGGCAAGCGAGAUACCUGCGCACCAGGGAAAUCCGGUGCGCAUAAGGGGAAGGCGCGAAGCAUACGGAAAGCUGCGGCAAGUACGGAAGAGCUGAGAGCAGGCUUCCAGGAAAAGCUUCUAGCACAACACGCAUCGGCCCGUACCGAAAAUGGACACACAUGGGCAAGGAGAGAAUCCUGAGGUGAGCGAGAGAACUAUAGCUAAGGAACUCUGCAAAAUGACCCCGUAACCUAGGGAGAAGGGGUGCUCCAGAAAUGGAGCCGCAGUAAAACGGCCCAAGCGACUGUUUACCAAAAACACAGCUCUCUGCGAAGGCGCAAGCCGAAGUAUAGGGGGUGACGCCUGCCCGGUGCUGGAAGGUCAAGGGGAGCUGUCAGCGCAAGCGAAGCAGCGAGCCGAAGCCCCAGUAAACGGCGGCCGUAACUAUAACGGUCCUAAGGUAGCGAAAUUCCUUGUCGGGCAAGUUCCGACCCGCACGAAAGGCGUAACGAUUUGGGCGCUGUCUCAGCUGUAGACUCGGUGAAGUCUUAGUACCUGUGAAGAUGCAGGUUGCCCGCGACUAGACGGAAAGACCCCAUGGAGCUUCACUGCAGGUUGACAUUGGGCUUGGAUGCAUGAUGUACAGGAUAGGUGGGAGGCUGAGAGCCGUGCGCGCCAGCGUACGGGGAGCCGCUGUUGGGAUACCACCCUUCAUGCAUCUAGGUCCUAACCGGAGGCAACGGGCCACGGGACAGUGUCAGUCGGGCAGUUUGACUGGGGCGGUCGCCUCCCAAAGAGUAACGGAGGCGCCCAAAGAUACCCUCAGCAUGGAUGGAAACCAUGCAUAGAGUGCAAAGGCAUAAGGGUGUCUGACUGCGAGACAUACAGGUCGAGCAGGGACGAAAGUCGGGCUUAGUGAUCCGGCGGAUCCGAAUGGAAGGGCCGUCGCUCAACGGAUAAAAGCUACCCUGGGGAUAACAGG